GCUGGGGUAGCUCAGUUGGUAGAGCAUGAGACCCUUAAUCACAGGAUUGUGAGUUCAAGCUCCAUGUGCUGGGCA
This is a non-coding RNA of Podarcis lilfordi (Lilford's wall lizard), 75 nucleotides long. Lineage: Eukaryota; Metazoa; Chordata; Lepidosauria; Squamata; Lacertidae. The record is from the annotation of a GenBank genome assembly.